Long non-coding RNA from Musca domestica (house fly), 498 nucleotides. RefSeq lists it as uncharacterized. The record is from RefSeq and is a predicted model, not a curated record. Lineage: Eukaryota; Metazoa; Arthropoda; Insecta; Diptera; Muscidae. The transcript is spliced from 3 exons.
CGUUUUAAAAGACGCCAUCAAAAAGGUUAGAUUAUUAACGAAGAAAAAGUUAUAGCAAGCACAUUGUGAACACCAAAACGCGCCCAUAAAAAAUUAAUUAAAAAGUGUGAAUUACAAAAAAAUUAAAAGUUACAAACAAUUUUAAAGGAAAAGGAAGUCUCACAAUGUUUUCUCUGGUGAAAUUUUUCAACGAGGACCUAUGGGUCGUAAAUCAAAAUCUGUUAGGCAAAACAAUGGACAAAAUUGCACCGUUAAAUAUAAAGGCUGUUCCUACUCGGCUAUAUUAAUCCUUGCAAGUGAUGACAUGGAAUAUCUACACAAAAUAAAAAAAGGAGAAGUAAUUGCAUCUAAAGAAGUUGAACAAAUUUGUACAACAACCUAUGCAACAAGGGAUGAGUUCGUUGAAGGAGCACAAAUAAAUGAUGACAAGUCUGCUUUGAGGAAAACAAGAUGUUAUUCCCCAUCUACAAUGUCGGCCAUAAGAGAAUCCAUUGAGAA